Podarcis lilfordi (Lilford's wall lizard) is the source of this 75-nucleotide non-coding RNA. NCBI's taxonomy places the organism in Eukaryota, Metazoa, Chordata, Lepidosauria, Squamata, Lacertidae. The record is from the annotation of a GenBank genome assembly.
UUUCCUGCGGCGCAAUGGGUCAGUGCUUCUGGCUGUUGACCAGAAGGUUGGUGGUUUGAGCCCAAACUGGGAAAG